UUUACACGGAGCUUGCUCUGGUGGCGAGUGGCGAACGGGUGAGUAAUAUAUCGGAACGUACCCUGGAGUGGGGGAUAACGUAGCGAAAGUUACGCUAAUACCGCAUACGAUCUAAGGAUGAAAGUGGGGGAUCGCAAGACCUCAUGCUCGUGGAGCGGCCGAUAUCUGAUUAGCUAGUUGGUAGGGUAAAAGCCUACCAAGGCAUCGAUCAGUAGCUGGUCUGAGAGGACGACCAGCCACACUGGAACUGAGACACGGUCCAGACUCCUACGGGAGGCAGCAGUGGGGAAUUUUGGACAAUGGGCGAAAGCCUGAUCCAGCAAGGCCGCGUGAGUGAAGAAGGCCUUCGGGUUGUAAAGCUCUUUUGUCAGGGAAGAAACGGUGAGGGCUAAUAUCUCUUGCUAAUGAC
This 409-nucleotide ribosomal RNA is filed under the name uncultured Janthinobacterium sp. Its description in RNAcentral is "bacterial SSU rRNA". It matches the Rfam family "Bacterial small subunit ribosomal RNA", at positions 68 to 473 of the family's 1533-position model. The record is from RNAcentral. Lineage: Bacteria; Pseudomonadati; Pseudomonadota; Betaproteobacteria; Burkholderiales; Oxalobacteraceae.